GUGUUCCAGAGGGAACUCUCAGCACCACCAUAUAGCUCUCACCAUUUCUAUCACCCGAUAAUUAAGUAUGCUUUUAGUUAUUUCUUCCUUUGUUGCAUAAUUCAUCAGAGGAUCCAUCAUUUCCAUUUUUUAUAUAUAUAUUUUUUUUUACAUAGAAAAGUCAUUCUUCUAAGUUACAUGCACUUAUGUGUCAUUGAUGAGUGCCAUAAGUGUCCUUUCUUUUUCCACUUAUCUCUUAAAAACUUUUCUUUCUUGUCUUUUCCUGGUGAAGAUAAUCUGCUCACCCCUCAAGGACUGUAUUGCUGCAUUGCUAAAGAUUCUCCAGAUCUUCUUACUGUUCUUCAUAAAUAUGAAUAAUUAUUUAUUUGUAUUUAUUUUCUUCAGAUUUCUGAAAUAGCGGAUUUGUGAGCUGGCUGCACCAUGCAUCUAUUGGGGUCGUUGCUGCUUUCUUUACCAGCCCAACAAGGGAGAAAGCUCAGUGAGCGCUUAUGUAUUUCUAGCACCAUGUCCAGCGGUCUGCCAUCUGGGUAAUGGGGAAGCUUUUCUCUACUGGAGAGCUGGGAGCUGCUCUCAUAUCUUAUAAUAAGACGUGAAAAAUAACAGAACAGGACUUUCUAGCACCUUAUUGGAAGAGGACUGGCUGUCUGCUCUUUCUCAGCCCUUGGCUCCUUCCUCCCCACCAAUUGAAGUCUAUUAGGACAAUGAGCAGGUAAAGCCUCAUAGCGAUUUUUCUUCCAUUGUAUUCAUUUAAAGCGAUGCUCAUUAUAAGACAUGCUAGCAGCGCCUUGGAUGGGGCAUAUGCCAGGCACAACUAUUGACUGAUGCU
Rana temporaria (common frog) is the source of this 826-nucleotide long non-coding RNA. RefSeq lists it as uncharacterized. NCBI's taxonomy places the organism in Eukaryota, Metazoa, Chordata, Amphibia, Anura, Ranidae. The transcript has 3 exons. The record is from RefSeq and is a predicted model, not a curated record.